GGAGAAGAAGAAAUUGAAAGCUGAAGAAAAAAAAAUUAUAAUGCUCAAUUGAACAUCCUAAUGCAUGCAAAAUUGUUUUCUCCAGAGUAAAUUCCAUAAAUAAAAGAAAAGAAUACCCAACAAUAAAUAUCUAAAUUUAUUAUUAUUGCUAAUUUAAAUUUGCCAUGAUUUCUAAUUAAAGUUUAUUUGAUAAUGAAUAAUGAUUACUGUCAUAAUAAUUAUAAAACAAAAACAAAUGUUAUCGUGACAUUCUGCAAUAAAUAAUAAACCUUCUUGAGGCAAAUAAGAAGAUCCAUUCACCGACAACCCCUUGAUAGCAUGCAACAACCUAUAGAAGUUACGUACAUGAAUCAAGGCUAUAUGAAUAGCUCAGUGACAACAAAGGAGCAGGAGAAUCAAUACAAAACAAAGCAUAUCAAGAUCAAAAAACCUACAAUGUCCAGAACUUCAGAAGGACAGAGAUUCUUCUUUUAAAAUAAAUUUAAAUUGAGAGAGAGUUGAUCCACUUGCCCAGC
RNAcentral lists this unclassified non-coding RNA (515 nucleotides) under Hevea brasiliensis (rubber tree). Lineage: Eukaryota; Viridiplantae; Streptophyta; Magnoliopsida; Malpighiales; Euphorbiaceae. The record is from RNAcentral.